This 1321-nucleotide long non-coding RNA is filed under the name Homo sapiens (human). RNAcentral's name for it is "HSALNT0306059". Lineage: Eukaryota; Metazoa; Chordata; Mammalia; Primates; Hominidae. The record is from RNAcentral.
UCCCGUAGCUGGGACUACAGGAAUGUGCCACGCCCAGGCACCAUCCCCUGCAGCUGUCUCCCCAGCGGCUCCCUCUCUUGCUGGACAGGCCUACCAUGAAAUCAGCCCUGGGAUCUGACAAUACUACCUCCUCCUGCCACCUACUUAAAAGUGUAAUAGUUUCCUGUGGUUGCUUCUCUGGGGAAGAAUUUCCCCUGGAUUCUUCUCAGUUUUUCCAUCACCUGUGCAACAGAUUCCUUGUAUCACAUUCUUUGUUUGAAGAAAUAAGUGUGGUUUCUGUUUUUCUAGUUGAAUUCAGCAGAUUUAUCCAUUUUGUGUUUUCGUAAGGGUCUUACCCUGCUUAGGGGAGAAGGAAUGAUUUUCACAGGAAAGCAGUCACAUUCAGUUUAGGAAUCUGCCUGUGCUUCCCCCGAUGGCUUUAGUAAUGUCAUUAUUUUUUCCACCUCUUACUCCCCAUGCUUGCUCCUCACCUCCCAUACCCAACCUGUGUCUCUCCUGCUUCCUCCAUUCUUAGAGCAUAUGACACCUAUCUUCUGGGGUCACAUCCCCAGAGGUACACAAUGAUUUGUUUUUGUUUAUUUUUAAAUUUCUUUUCAUAUAGUGUCCUUAACAAGAAUGUCACUGCUGUAGGAUAGGAUAGCAAAAGAGCACUGGGUUUUUCAUUCAGAAUGUGAAUCAGUGUGGCUUGUUUGAAUCCUAUAGCCUUGUCCUGCACAACAGUGCCCUUGAUAGCAGAACAGGAAAAAAGAUAAUUUCACCACAAAUCUAUGAGGAGAAAAUGAGAUGAAACAUAUGAAAGGAUUGUGCAAAAGAUAAAAGGCUAAAAGAAAAUAAAAAGAAAAGGCCAGGUAUGGUGUUUCAUGCCUAUAAUCCCAGCAUUGUGGGAGCCCAAGGCAGGAGGAUCACUUGAGCCCAGGAGUUCAAUAUCAGCCUGGGCAGCAUAGAGAGGUCCUGUCUGUAUUUAAAAAAAAUUUUUUUUAACGAUAAAAUGCUAAGCAAAUAAGAAGUUAUUAUUUUGAAAUAGUAAAUAAGCCUAAAUUAGUUGUUUUCCUUGAAACAAUUGUAAUUUUAAAAGUUACCACAAAGGUAUUUCUCAACUAGAAUUUAUACAGAAGCUUAACAACAUCACAGUCUUGAUUUAACACAUGAUUUCUCAAUCUCAGUUCUAUUGACCUUUGAGGUUGGAUAAUUCUUUGUUGUAGGGAGCUGUCUUGUGCAUUGUAAGAUUUUUGGUGGCAUCUCUACCAGUAGCACCCACCUGUCUAGUUAUAACAAAACAUUUCUCAACAUUGCCAAAUGUCCCCUAGGAAAAAAAAAAAAA